GUCUUUGUCUCUCGCUCCCGCCAGAGCUUGGGAUCGGUCUUCACUGUUCCGCGUCCUCCACCUGGGAACCCCCGACCCCCGCCCGGCGACUUUGUCACAGACUCUGUUGCCUUGUGAUCUGCAGGUCCUGGGAGACGCACAGCUAAGAUGCCAGGGCAACCUGGAAGCUGUGAAGUG
RNAcentral lists this long non-coding RNA (177 nucleotides) under Pan troglodytes (chimpanzee). Its description in RNAcentral is "lincRNA". Lineage: Eukaryota; Metazoa; Chordata; Mammalia; Primates; Hominidae. The record is from RNAcentral.